Molecule: ribosomal RNA, 253 nt
Filed under: uncultured bacterium
Lineage: Bacteria
Description: partial 16S ribosomal RNA
Rfam family: Bacterial small subunit ribosomal RNA
Source: RNAcentral
UACGAAGGGGGCUAGCGUUGCUCGGAAUCACUGGGCGUAAAGGGUGCGUAGGCGGGUUUUUAAGUCAGGGGUGAAAUCCCGGGGCUCAACUCCGGAAUUGCCUUUAAGACUGCAUCGCUAGAAUUGUGGAGAGGUAAGUGGAAUUCCGAGUGUAGAGGUGAAAUUCGUAGAUAUUCGCAAGAACACCAGUGGCGAAGGCGGCUCACUGGCCCGAUACUGACGCUGAGGCACGAAAGCGUGGGGAGCAAACAGG